This 1112-nucleotide ribosomal RNA is filed under the name Nocardiopsis dassonvillei subsp. crassaminis. RNAcentral's name for it is "bacterial SSU rRNA". Lineage: Bacteria; Bacillati; Actinomycetota; Actinomycetes; Streptosporangiales; Nocardiopsidaceae. The record is from RNAcentral.
GACGAACGCUGGCGGCGUGCUUAACACAUGCAAGUCGAGCGGUAAGGCCCUUCGGGGUACACGAGCGGCGAACGGGUGAGUAACACGUGAGCAACCUGCCCCUGACUCWGGGAUAAGCGGUGGAAACGCCGUCUAAUACCGGAUACGACCCGCCACCUCAUGGUGGAGGGUGGAAAGUUUUUCGGUCAGGGAUGGGCUCGCGGCCUAUCAGCUUGUUGGUGGGGUAACGGCCUACCAAGGCGAUUACGGGUAGCCGGCCUGAGAGGGCGACCGGCCACACUGGGACUGAGACACGGCCCAGACUCCUGCGGGAGGCAGCAGUGGGGAAUAUUGCGCAAUGGGCGAAAGCCUGACGCAGCGACGCCGCGUGGGGGAUGACGGCCUUCGGGUUGUAAACCUCUUUUACCACCAACGCAGGCUCGAAGUUCUCUUCGGGUUGACGGUAGGUGGGGAAUAAGGACCGGCUAACUACGUGCCAGCAGCCGCGGUAAUACGUAGGGUCCGAGCGUUGUCCGGAAUUAUUGGGCGUAAAGAGCUCGUAGGCGGCGUGUCGCGUCUGCUGUGAAAGACCGGGGCUUAACUCCGGUUCUGCAGUGGAUACGGGCAUGCUAGAGGUAGGUAGGGGAGACUGGAAUUCCUGGUGUAGCGGUGAAAUGCGCAGAUAUCAGGAGGAACACCGGUGGCGAAGGCGGGUCUCUGGGCCUUACCUGACGCUGAGGAGCGAAAGCAUGGGGAGCGAACAGGAUUAGAUACCCUGGUAGUCCAUGCCGUAAACGUUGGGCGCUAGGUGUGGGGACUUUCCACGGUUUCCGCGCCGUAGCUAACGCAUUAAGCGCCCCGCCUGGGGAGUACGGCCGCAAGGCUAAAACUCAAAGGAAUUGACGGGGGCCCGCACAAGCGGCGGAGCAUGUUGCUUAAUUCGACGCAACGCGAAGAACCUUACCAAGGUUUGACAUCACCCGUGGACUCGCAGAGAUGUGAGGUCAUUUAGUUGGCGGGUGACAGGUGGUGCAUGGCUGUCGUCAGCUCGUGUCGUGAGAUGUUGGGUUAAGUCCCGCAACGAGCGCAACCCUUGUUCCAUGUUGCCAGCACGUAAUGGUGGGGACUCAUGG